Nerophis lumbriciformis (worm pipefish) is the source of this 667-nucleotide long non-coding RNA. RefSeq lists it as uncharacterized. NCBI's taxonomy places the organism in Eukaryota, Metazoa, Chordata, Actinopteri, Syngnathiformes, Syngnathidae. The record is from RefSeq and is a predicted model, not a curated record.
ACCCCACCCUGACUCUUUUAGUCAACUAUUCAGAGCCAUGGUCUAUAUUGGCUGUCAAAGUGUACCGCCUUGUCGGAAUACAUCCUCAUCCUUCUACUAUCCAGCACAGACCAGGAAUGCCCAUCCAUCCAUCGAUUUCCUACCGCUUACUCCCUUUGGGGUCUCGGGGGCGCUGGAGCCUAUCUCAGCUACAAUCGGGCGGAAGGCGGGGUACACCCUGGACAAGUCGCUACCUCAUCGCAGCAGACCAGGAAUGGCAAUUAUAAAUCAUGAAGCAUUUAAUAUAAUGUCAAAAAAAGCUUUUUAUUAUAUUCUACUUUAAUCUCGGAUUAUGGCAGACUAUAUGUUGUAUGGAAAAUUGGCAAUUGUUCUUUGAGUGCAACAAGAAAAACACAAUGUGUUUAAUGCCCUUUAAUUUAUAUUUUAACCUUCUAGAAUGUUUCUUUGAGUGCAGUAAGAAACAUAUGUUUAUUGUAUUGCCUGAUUUUCUGUUAAAAUAAACUUUUUUGUAGUUCCCUUUCUUUGGAAACGUAUCGAAAACAUAUCAAUAUACAGGUAUAUUUUGGUGCCGGUACCAAAGUAUUGGUGUCGGGACUAGCCUAGUAGGAACACAAGUAAUGUCAUUGAAUGAUUUGAUCACUUGUGAUUACACUGGUAUGUGUGUGGC